UACGUAGGGUGCAAGCGUUAAUCGGAAUUACUGGGCGUAAAGCGUGCGCAGGCGGUGAUGUAAGACAGAUGUGAAAUCCCCGGGCUCAACCUGGGAACUGCAUUUGUGACUGCAUCGCUGGAGUGCGGCAGAGGGGGAUGGAAUUCCGCGUGUAGCAGUGGAAUGCGUAGAGAUCGGGAAGAACACCCGUGGCGAAGGCGGCCGGCUGGGCCGGAUCCGACGCUGAGGCGCGAAAGCGUGGGGAGCAAACAGG
RNAcentral lists this ribosomal RNA (253 nucleotides) under uncultured bacterium. RNAcentral's name for it is "partial 16S ribosomal RNA". It matches the Rfam family "Bacterial small subunit ribosomal RNA", at positions 524 to 776 of the family's 1533-position model. The record is from RNAcentral.